UCAGAUGGCCGGAUGGCCGCUCUUGUCCGCAAGGACGGGAGAGGAAAGUCCGGGCUCCACGGAAACACGGUGACGGAUAACAUCCGCCGGGGGUAACCCCAGGGAUAGCGCCACAGAAAUCAAACCGCCUCUAUUUCGAUGGAGGUAAGGGUGAAACGGUGCGGUAAGAGCGCACCGCGUCCUUGGCGACAAGGAUGGCACGGCAAGCCCCACCGGGAGCAAGACCGAAUAGGGACGGCAUGUAAUCUGUUUCCGGAUAGCCGUCCGGGUUGGUCGCACGAGGCGUUCGGCAACGAACGUCCCAGAGGAAUGGCCAUACAGUCUCCCGAAGCCUCGGCGCAGGGAGAUGGACAGAACCCGGCUUACAGGCCGUCUGACGCA
RNAcentral lists this RNase P RNA (381 nucleotides) under Rhodanobacteraceae bacterium. RNAcentral's name for it is "RNase P RNA component class A". It matches the Rfam family "Bacterial RNase P class A". Rfam says of the family: Ribonuclease P (RNase P) is a ubiquitous endoribonuclease, found in archaea, bacteria and eukarya as well as chloroplasts and mitochondria. Its best characterised activity is the generation of mature 5'-ends of tRNAs by cleaving the 5'-leader elements of precursor-tRNAs. Lineage: Bacteria; Pseudomonadati; Pseudomonadota; Gammaproteobacteria; Lysobacterales; Rhodanobacteraceae. The record is from RNAcentral.